UGGGGUAUCGUUCAACGGUAGGACAGCUGAUUCUGGAUCAGUCAAUUGGGGUUCGAAUCCCUGUACCCCAGCCA
Molecule: transfer RNA, 74 nt
Filed under: Dictyobacter alpinus
Lineage: Bacteria; Bacillati; Chloroflexota; Ktedonobacteria; Ktedonobacterales; Dictyobacteraceae
Also listed under: 1 other name
Description: tRNA-Gln
Rfam family: tRNA
About the family: Transfer RNA (tRNA) molecules are approximately 80 nucleotides in length. Their secondary structure includes four short double-helical elements and three loops (D, anti-codon, and T loops).
Source: RNAcentral